Molecule: unclassified non-coding RNA, 267 nt
Filed under: Hevea brasiliensis (rubber tree)
Lineage: Eukaryota; Viridiplantae; Streptophyta; Magnoliopsida; Malpighiales; Euphorbiaceae
Source: RNAcentral
UAGAGAAGUUUUGAAUGUUGAGGAAUGGACAGUGUAUUGUGAUUGACUCUUGUGCUGACAAAAGAGUCAAAUGGUUAGUUGAGCUUGUGCUGAAUUUGCUAUUAUUGAGGAUAUUUUCACUGUACUUGAUGUACUAAGAUGGAGUAACUGUCUGUUCUGGUUCUUAUAAGCUUUCCCUCAUUUUUAGCUGUCUAUAGUUAUAAGAAUUUUUCACCAUAUUGAUUGAGUUGGAUAAGGCCUGUAAGGUAGUAGUAUUGUAGCGUGCUG